AAGAGUGGUUCAGACCUUGCUGGCGGCGUGCCUAAUACAUGCAAGUCGAGCGGACAGAUGGGAGCUUGCUCCCUGAAGUCAGCGGCGGACGGGUGAGUAACACGUGGGCAACCUGCCUGUAAGACUGGGAUAACUCCGGGAAACCGGGGCUAAUACCGGAUAAUUCUUUCCCUCACAUGAGGGAAAGCUGAAAGAUGGUUUCGGCUAUCACUUACAGAUGGGCCCGCGGCGCAUUAGCUAGUUGGUGAGGUAACGGCUCACCAAGGCAACGAUGCGUAGCCGACCUGAGAGGGUGAUCGGCCACACUGGGACUGAGACACGGCCCAGACUCCUACGGGAGGCAGCAGUAGGGAAUCUUCCGCAAUGGACGAAAGUCUGACGGAGCAACGCCGCGUGAGUGAUGAAGGUUUUCGGAUCGUAAAACUCUGUUGUUAGGGAAGAACAAGUACCGGAGUAACUGCCGGUACCUUGACGGUACCUAACCAGAAAGCCACGGCUAACUACGUGCCAGCAGCCGCGGUAAUACGUAGGUGGCAAGCGUUGUCCGGAAUUAUUGGGCGUAAAGCGCGCGCAGGCGGUUCCUUAAGUCUGAUGUGAAAGCCCCCGGCUCAACCGGGGAGGGUCAUUGGAAACUGGGGAACUUGAGUGCAGAAAAAAAGAGUGGAAUUCCACGUGU
This 676-nucleotide ribosomal RNA is filed under the name Bacillus sp. JS12. RNAcentral's name for it is "bacterial SSU rRNA". It matches the Rfam family "Bacterial small subunit ribosomal RNA", at positions 15 to 676 of the family's 1533-position model. The record is from RNAcentral. Lineage: Bacteria; Bacillati; Bacillota; Bacilli; Caryophanales; Bacillaceae.